Molecule: transfer RNA, 72 nt
Rfam family: tRNA
About the family: Transfer RNA (tRNA) molecules are approximately 80 nucleotides in length. Their secondary structure includes four short double-helical elements and three loops (D, anti-codon, and T loops).
Source: Rfam
GGUUGUGUGGUGUAAUGGUUAUCACAACAGACUCUGAAUCUGUUAAUCCGAGUUCGAAUCUCGGCAUGACCU